This 253-nucleotide unclassified non-coding RNA is filed under the name uncultured Bacteroidota bacterium. RNAcentral's name for it is "uncultured Bacteroidetes bacterium contains 16S-23S intergenic spacer region". It matches the Rfam family "Bacterial small subunit ribosomal RNA", at positions 524 to 776 of the family's 1533-position model. Lineage: Bacteria; Pseudomonadati; Bacteroidota. The record is from RNAcentral.
UACGGAGGGUGCAAGCGUUGUCCGGAAUCACUGGGUGUAAAGGGUGUGCAGGCGGGCUGGCAAGUCAGAGGUGAAAUCUCCCGGCUCAACCGGGGAAUGGCCCCUGAUACUGCCAGUCUUGAGUCUCGAAGAGGUCGCUGGAAUUCGUGGUGUAGCGGUGAAAUGCGUAGAUAUCACGAGGAACAUCAGAGGCGAAAGCGAGCGACUGGUCGAGUACUGACGCUCAGGCACGAAAGCGUGGGGAGCAAACAGG